ACCUCAUGCGCUCAUAGCUCGUUCUGCGCCACCUGCUCCCCAAUCCUGCUCAACCGCAAAAAAAGAAACACGUUGCGGCCUUGGUAUCAUGCGUGUCCGAAGUGGCCUUCCGCACCUCCAUGUCCCAGCUCAGUCAGUAUUGCACAGAGUCACACACAUCUAAACUGUGGUGUCACACACGAGGUCACUUCAAUGCUGUCAGAACUGUCAGAUGGCCCUUGUCUGCUGCUUGCCUUACUUCGGCAACUUGCGUUAACAGUCAAUCAUUGACACACACAAACGUGGGUAAACGGGGGUGGCCAAGCCCCGAACUAGACUAGUGCUCACC
Molecule: long non-coding RNA, 328 nt
Filed under: Chlamydomonas reinhardtii
Lineage: Eukaryota; Viridiplantae; Chlorophyta; Chlorophyceae; Chlamydomonadales; Chlamydomonadaceae
Description: long non-coding RNA (CREI_LNC000097)
Source: RNAcentral